AUACAGGGGGUGCAAGCGUUGUUCGGAAUUACUGGGCGUAAAGGGUGCGUAGGUGGUUUCUUAAGUCAGGAGUGAAAGGCUACGGCUCAACCGUAGUAAGCUCUUGAAACUGGGAAACUUGAGUGCAGGAGAGGAAAGUGGAAUUCCUAGUGUAGCGGUGAAGUGCGUAGAUAUUAGGAGGAACACCAGUGGCGAAGGCGGCUUACUGGACUGUAACUGACGCUGAGUCACGAAAGCGUGGGUAGC
This 246-nucleotide ribosomal RNA is filed under the name uncultured bacterium. RNAcentral describes it as "partial 16S ribosomal RNA". It matches the Rfam family "Bacterial small subunit ribosomal RNA", at positions 523 to 769 of the family's 1533-position model. The record is from RNAcentral.